Acanthosepion pharaonis is the source of this 99-nucleotide non-coding RNA. The record is from the annotation of a GenBank genome assembly. NCBI's taxonomy places the organism in Eukaryota, Metazoa, Mollusca, Cephalopoda, Sepiida, Sepiidae.
CGUUGAAGCACCGCUUCCCGUGUGAUUACUGUAGUUAAACAACGUCGAGCUUGGUCAGUACCUUGAUGGGUGACCGCUUGGGAAUACCAGGUGCUGUAA